Molecule: ribosomal RNA, 1438 nt
Filed under: uncultured organism
Description: 16S ribosomal RNA
Rfam family: Bacterial small subunit ribosomal RNA
Source: RNAcentral
GAUGAACGCUAGCUACAGGCUUAACACAUGCAAGUCGAGGGGCAGCAUGGUCUUAGCUUGCUAAGGCCGAUGGCGACCGGCGCACGGGUGAGUAACACGUAUCCAACCUGCCGUCUACUCUUGGACAGCCUUCUGAAAGGAAGAUUAAUACAAGAUGGCAUCAUGAGUCCGCAUGUUCACAUGAUUAAAGGUAUUCCGGUAGACGAUGGGGAUGCGUUCCAUUAGAUAGUAGGCGGGGUAACGGCCCACCUAGUCUUCGAUGGAUAGGGUUCUGAGAGGAAGGUCCCCCACAUUGGAACUGAGACACGGUCCAAACUCCUACGGGAGGCAGCAGUGAGGAAUAUUGGUCAAUGGGCGAGAGCCUGAACCAGCCAAGUAGCGUGAAGGAUGACUGCCCUAUGGGUUGUAAACUUCUUUUAUAAAGGAAUAAAGUCGGGUAUGGAUACCCGUUUGCAUGUACUUUAUGAAUAAGGAUCGGCUAACUCCGUGCCAGCAGCCGCGGUAAUACGGAGGAUCCGAGCGUUAUCCGGAUUUAUUGGGUUUAAAGGGAGCGUAGAUGGAUGUUUAAGUCAGUUGUGAAAGUUUGCGGCUCAACCGUAAAAUUGCAGUUGAUACUGGAUAUCUUGAGUGCAGUUGAGGCAGGCGGAAUUCGUGGUGUAGCGGUGAAAUGCUUAGAUAUCACGAAGAACUCCGAUUGCGAAGGCAGCCUGCUAAGCUGCAACUGACAUUGAGGCUCGAAAGUGUGGGUAUCAAACAGGAUUAGAUACCCUGGUAGUCCACACGGUAAACGAUGAAUACUCGCUGUUUGCGAUAUACAGCAAGCGGCCAAGCGAAAGCGUUAAGUAUUCCACCUGGGGAGUACGCCGGCAACGGUGAAACUCAAAGGAAUUGACGGGGGCCCGCACAAGCGGAGGAACAUGUGGUUUAAUUCGAUGAUACGCGAGGAACCUUACCCGGGCUUAAAUUGCAGAUGAAUUACGGUGAAAGCCGUAAGCCGCAAGGCAUCUGUGAAGGUGCUGCAUGGUUGUCGUCAGCUCGUGCCGUGAGGUGUCGGCUUAAGUGCCAUAACGAGCGCAACCCUUGUUGUCAGUUACUAACAGGUUCCGCUGAGGACUCUGACAAGACUGCCAUCGUAAGAUGUGAGGAAGGUGGGGAUGACGUCAAAUCAGCACGGCCCUUACGUCCGGGGCUACACACGUGUUACAAUGGGGGGUACAGAGGGCCGCUACCACGCGAGUGGAUGCCAAUCCCCAAAACCUCUCUCAGUUCGGACUGGGGUCUGCAACCCGACUCCACGAAGCUGGAUUCGCUAGUAAUCGCGCAUCAGCCACGGCGCGGUGAAUACGUUCCCGGGCCUUGUACACACCGCCCGUCAAGCCAUGGGAGCCGGGGGUACCUGAAGUGCGUAACCGCGAGGAGCGCCCUAGGGUAAAACUGG